RNAcentral lists this ribosomal RNA (253 nucleotides) under uncultured bacterium. RNAcentral describes it as "partial 16S ribosomal RNA". It matches the Rfam family "Bacterial small subunit ribosomal RNA", at positions 524 to 776 of the family's 1533-position model. The record is from RNAcentral.
GACGAAGGGGGCUAGCGUUGUUCGGAAUUACUGGGCGUAAAGCGCGUGUAGGCGGUUGCCCAAGUCGGGUGUGAAAGCCUUGAGCUCAACUCAAGAAAUGCACUCGGUACUGGGUGACUAGAGGACCGGAGAGGAUAGUGGAAUUCCCAGUGUAGUGGUGAAAUACGUAGAGAUUGGGAAGAACACCAGUGGCGAAGGCGGCUAUCUGGACGGUUUCUGACGCUAAGGCACGAAGGCCAGGGGAGCAAACGGG